Molecule: unclassified non-coding RNA, 302 nt
Filed under: uncultured fungus
Lineage: Eukaryota; Fungi
Description: partial contains 5.8S ribosomal RNA and internal transcribed spacer 2
Rfam family: 5.8S ribosomal RNA (bases 1-133)
Source: RNAcentral
UGGUUCUGGCAUCGAUGAAGAACGCAGCGAAAUGCGAUAAGUAGUGUGAAUUGCAGAAUUCAGUGAAUCAUCGAAUCUUUGAACGCACAUUGCGCCCCUUGGUAUUCCAUGGGGCAUGCCUGUUCGAGCGUCAUUUACACUCUCAAGCUCUGCUUGGUGUUGGGCGUUGUCUUUGCGGACUCGCCUCAAUUGGAUUGGCAGCCGGCUUUUGGUUUAUAACGCAGCACAUGCGCUCUAUGCCAUACAGUCGCUUCCAUAAGUCUAUUACGUUUGACCUCGGAUCAGGUAGGGAUACCCGCUGA